This 164-nucleotide ribosomal RNA is filed under the name Campylocentrum robustum. RNAcentral describes it as "5.8S ribosomal RNA". It matches the Rfam family "5.8S ribosomal RNA". From Rfam's summary of the family: 5.8S ribosomal RNA (5.8S rRNA) is a component of the large subunit of the eukaryotic ribosome. The record is from RNAcentral. Lineage: Eukaryota; Viridiplantae; Streptophyta; Magnoliopsida; Asparagales; Orchidaceae.
GACACGACUCUCGGCAAUGGAUAUCUCGGCUCUCGCAUCGAUGAAGAGCGCAGCGAAAUGCGAUACUUGGUGCGAAUUGCAGAAUCCCGCGAACCAUCGAGUCUUUGAACGCAAGUUGCGCCCGAGGCCAACCGGCCGAGGGCACGUCCGCCUGGGCGUCAAGC